GAUUUCAUAAUUUUUUCUUGGUGUCAGGCUAUCAGCAGCAUCGAGCAAUCUGUUUUUUUUUCUUGUUUGUGAAGCAAAUGUUUCCGACAAUAUGUUGUGAAAGAACUACUCACUUAAUCUUGUCUCUAAGUCAAACCUGUUUAAGUUUGACCAAGUUUAUAGGAAAAAAAACACAUCUACAAUAUUUAUGCAUGUGCCUAGUAUUGAUCCAUUGAUUCUCUGGAUUGAUAGGCCCUUUUUGUGGUGUACAGUAUUUCAAGAUGUUCAUGUAGUCCUAUGUCGUCUAAGCACACUUUGCAGCAAACUGGUGGAUGCUCUUAAGAGCAUGUACAGUACAGAGAAGCGUGGUAAGAGAGAAGUGAUGAGCAGGCCACAAUGGAAGGAUACAUUAGUUGGUGAAUCUGAGUAUGUCGAUGAUCACAGGUCUAGUAUGACAGAUGUGAAGCUGAAUGGAAGAUUGAACAAGUGUAGUGUCAUCAGUCCACGCUUGGACCUUGGAGAUCGAGUCCUGGAGUGCAAGGCUGCUCCCCUUACAUCAGCCGCAUGUCAGUUCGCCCUCGCCCGAGUCCUGGGAUGGAGGGAGUAGGCAUGGCAAGUGGGGAAGGCCAUGGGGCAGCAGCAGUAGUCCACACCGGUGAGACAGGUGCUCCGAUCGGUGUCAGCGACAACUCUGAAAAGACAUCACUCACAUAGGCGCAGGAGCUUCAGCUGUGCAGGACAUCGAUUUGCCCAUUGUGCCGCCCACAAGCUUCUUGAUGUCUCCAGCAUCCAUGACGCAUUCCAUGGCGACUACAAGCUGUUCGAUCCAAUGCUGCACCGCCACCGGUUGCCACCAUCUGAUCGUGCAAUCAUGGUAUCAUGGGACCUGAGUGGUGGAAGCUCCUUGUUGCCUUCGAGGUUUUGCCCACCAUCCCUUAUGCAUCGGCCGCUGUUUGAUGGGAGAAGAUGACUAGAGGCAGCGAAAGGAGGGAGAGGGAGGCGCUGAACAAUGUGGCAUAGGUUGAUGGUGAGGACAAUGAAGAGAAAGCGAGCAAUGUGAAGAGGAGGGUGACGAGGGGAGAAAACGAGAAGCUCCAUGUCAUUGCUCUCAAGAUGUGCUUGUCUAUGAAUUUCCGAGCUAUGUAUUAAAUUUGACAUGCAAUUCCACUAUGACUGAAAUAUGCAGGUAUUUGGUUAUUGUAAAUUUUAGUUGUGUUGUACAUAUCUUUAUUUUAGUAGUUCUGAUUAAGCUAUAUUAUUAGCGCCCCAUAAUCUUUAUCUACCUGCGUAUCUGUUAGAAUUGAAAUUGAUUUAUAAAAUAUCACAUCUCCAAUGUAAGUUAUUCAUAAUAUGGAAUUCCAUUGUUUAGAAUUUGAACCUUGUGUUCACAAAUAAAAUAUUGCCUAGAAUCAACUAAAUUUUGACCAAUAUUUUCCACAUAGCAGAAGCCACUUUGAGCUCCUCACCGUUUCAAGCUUUGAGCUCUUCUUCCUUUUGAUUUGUGUAAGAUACUUUGGAUCUUUGAUAUUCUGAACAUAAUAAUAUAUGGCUGUGUACGCAG
Molecule: non-coding RNA, 1540 nt
Organism: Triticum urartu
Lineage: Eukaryota; Viridiplantae; Streptophyta; Magnoliopsida; Poales; Poaceae
Source: RefSeq, a predicted model, not a curated record